RNAcentral lists this unclassified non-coding RNA (200 nucleotides) under soil metagenome. RNAcentral's name for it is "partial contains internal transcribed spacer 2 and large subunit ribosomal RNA". The record is from RNAcentral.
CGAGCGUCAUUAUCAACCAUCAAGCCCUGCUUGGUAUUGGGUGUCGUCCCUGCUGCGGACGCUCCCUAAAGUAAUCGGCGGUGGUGUUAAACCUCAAGCGUAGUAAAUCUCCAGCUUUCUAGGUGAAACAUCGCUCGGCCUCGAGAACCCCACAUCUUAAGGUUGACCUCGGAUCAGGUAGGGAUACCCGCUGAACUUAA